Molecule: non-coding RNA, 31 nt
Filed under: Homo sapiens (human)
Lineage: Eukaryota; Metazoa; Chordata; Mammalia; Primates; Hominidae
Source: RNAcentral
UGGGUAGAAGCAGGGAAAGUUCCUGCCCACC